UACAGAGGGUGCGAGCGUUAAUCGGAAUUACUGGGCGUAAAGGGCGCGUAGGCGGUUAUUUAAGUUGGAUGUGAAAUCCCUGGGCUUAACCUAGGAACUGCAUCUAAUACUGGAUAACUGGAGUGCGGUAGAGGGUAGUGGAAUUUCCGGUGUAGCGGUGAAAUGCGUAGAUAUUGGAAGGAACACCAGUGGCGAAGGCGGCUACCUGGACUGACACUGACGCUGAGGCGCGAAAGCUAGGGGAGCAAACGGG
RNAcentral lists this ribosomal RNA (253 nucleotides) under uncultured bacterium. RNAcentral's name for it is "partial 16S ribosomal RNA". It matches the Rfam family "Bacterial small subunit ribosomal RNA", at positions 524 to 776 of the family's 1533-position model. The record is from RNAcentral.